RNAcentral lists this non-coding RNA (30 nucleotides) under Cricetulus griseus (Chinese hamster). The record is from RNAcentral. Lineage: Eukaryota; Metazoa; Chordata; Mammalia; Rodentia; Cricetidae.
AACUUGGAAAGAUCAGGCAACGUUGAAGGU